UACGUAGGGGGCGAGCGUUGUCCGGAAUUAUUGGGCGUAAAGCGCGCGCAGGCGGUCCAUUAAGUCUGGUGUUUAAGCCCGGGGCUCAACCCCGGUACGCACGGGAAACUGGUGGACUUGAGUGCAGGAGAGGGAAGUGGAAUUCCACGUGUAGCGGUGAAAUGCGUAGAGAUGUGGAGGAACACCAGUGGCGAAGGCGACUUUCUGGCCUGUAACUGACGCUGAGGCGCGAAAGCGUGGGGAGCAAACAGG
This 252-nucleotide ribosomal RNA is filed under the name uncultured bacterium. RNAcentral describes it as "partial 16S ribosomal RNA". It matches the Rfam family "Bacterial small subunit ribosomal RNA", at positions 524 to 776 of the family's 1533-position model. The record is from RNAcentral.